GGGGGCGUGGCGGAAUGGUAGACGCGGCGGACUCAAAAUCCGCUAACCUUGCGGUUGUGUGGGUUCGAGUCCCACCGCCCCCA
This 83-nucleotide transfer RNA is filed under the name Deltaproteobacteria bacterium. Its description in RNAcentral is "tRNA-Leu". It matches the Rfam family "tRNA". From Rfam's summary of the family: Transfer RNA (tRNA) molecules are approximately 80 nucleotides in length. Lineage: Bacteria; Pseudomonadati; Myxococcota; Myxococcia. The record is from RNAcentral.